This 537-nucleotide long non-coding RNA is filed under the name Taeniopygia guttata (zebra finch). RNAcentral describes it as "lncRNA (ENSTGUG00000018977.1)". The record is from RNAcentral. Lineage: Eukaryota; Metazoa; Chordata; Aves; Passeriformes; Estrildidae.
UCGCUAAAUUAGCUGUGUUGUCGUGUGGGAUCUUAGGAAAUGUGGUUUUCUUCUCCUUGAAUACAGAAAUAUUAAAUGACAUGAUGUUCUUGUUACACAAGGUGGAGGCAGGAAUGGAGGUGGAGCAGAGCAGCACUCUGAGAAGGAGUAAGGAGCUGUGGCCAAAGCCUUGAGGAAAGUCAAGAUCCACGCAGGAUGUUCUUGUGGCUUAAAGGAGAACCUCUGAGGAGGCAGAAAGCUGGUUCUUUCUGGAGGGAGAAGGCAUGAGAGACAGACUGGAUUGAAAAGAGAAAGAGGACCCUCAACUCUCCCUAAUUUUCAAGAAUGUUGCCAGUCAAAGAGAGUUCCCCUGGUGGAAUCAAUCUCUUGCUGCCCUGGUGGGUAGGAGCUGCUUUGAGUAGCUUUGGCUUUGUGGUGCUUUCUUGGAGUUUUGGCAAUGAGGGCAACAUCCAGACCCAUGAGAUGUCCCUGCAGCAUGGAGACACCCUCCCUCACUGCAGCUGCUGCCAGCCAGCUUCUUUAUCUGGGAAAUCCUGA